RNAcentral lists this ribosomal RNA (482 nucleotides) under uncultured bacterium. RNAcentral describes it as "bacterial SSU rRNA". It matches the Rfam family "Bacterial small subunit ribosomal RNA", at positions 28 to 534 of the family's 1533-position model. The record is from RNAcentral.
GAUGAACGCUGGCGGCGUGCUUAACACAUGCAAGUCGAACGUGAGAAUAGCAAUAUUUGAAAGUGGCAAACGGGUGAGUAACACGUGGGAACCUGCCUCGAAGUGGGGGAUAACGAUUGGAAACGGUCGCUAAUACCGCACGGUUCUGCUCUGAUGGGAAUGGAGCAGAUAAAGAUUUAUCGCUUUGAGAGGGGCCCGCGGCCGAUUAGCUAGUUGGUAAGGUAAAGGCUUACCAAGGCGAUUAUCGGUAGCUGGUCUGAGAGGACGAUCAGCCACACGGGAACUGAGACACGGUCCCGACUCCUACGGGGGGCAGCAGUGAGGAAUAUUGGGCAAUGGGCGAAAGCCUGACCCAGCAACGCCGCGUGGAGGAUGAAGGCUUUAGGGUUGUAAACUCCUUUUGUGGGGGAAAAGAAUGGAUGGUACCCCAAGAAUAAGUCACGGCUAACUACGUGCCAGCAGCCGCGGUAAGGCGUAUGUGU